UGUACAAAUUCAAACAAGAAAUGCACUAGCGGAAACAUAAAAAAACGGCUUACACGAGGGUAAGCAAUAGCCAUCAGUGAAAGAAAGGGAAACUAAACAUCUACACAAGUACUAUGAUUCAUUUUUGAUCAUAUACAUUGCAUUCAUCUCUUACAUUUUGGAUUCUUUGCGUUUCAUUACAUCACUUCAUCAUUUCUUUCUUACAUCACAUUUACCCCAAAAAUGAGCUUUACAUUCUUUUCUUUACUUUGCUUUAUACAUCAACAUCUUAAAUCAUCAAAUACAAAAGAUGAUAAAAGGGGUAAACUACUAACAAAAUAUAAUCCGAACUCAACUCUAGUGGCCUCUGACUAAGGCGCGAUACCUUUACCUAGGUCGCUCGCCGGCUCGCUCGGUCCCGGCUCUGUAGAAAUAGUGGGGUGAGAACUACAACAAAGUUCCCAGUGGGUUCGGCCCCAACAUCACCGACUUUCCCACUAGGAC
RNAcentral lists this long non-coding RNA (483 nucleotides) under Ananas comosus (pineapple). Its description in RNAcentral is "long non-coding RNA (ACOM_LNC005541)". The record is from RNAcentral. Lineage: Eukaryota; Viridiplantae; Streptophyta; Magnoliopsida; Poales; Bromeliaceae.